CAAUUGACUUCCAAUCAAUUAGCUUCGGUACAAACCCGAAAAAGAAUAAUUAAUCUCCCAUUAACUCUUA
Molecule: transfer RNA, 70 nt
Filed under: Microcebus ravelobensis
Lineage: Eukaryota; Metazoa; Chordata; Mammalia; Primates; Cheirogaleidae
Description: tRNA-Gly
Source: RNAcentral